AGCUUUGUGCAGUGGCAGUAUCGUAGCCAGUGAGGUUUAUCCUAGGCUCAACUGCUGCUAAUUGAAAACAGAAUUGAGUGCUCUAUUAUUUAAGGCCUCCACCUGUCGGGUCCCAAAGAAAGUCUGAACAAGGCUCAUUCCU
Mastomys coucha (southern multimammate mouse) is the source of this 142-nucleotide small nuclear RNA. RefSeq annotates it as U4 spliceosomal RNA. The transcript has a single exon. Lineage: Eukaryota; Metazoa; Chordata; Mammalia; Rodentia; Muridae. The record is from RefSeq and is a predicted model, not a curated record.